Molecule: ribosomal RNA, 443 nt
Filed under: uncultured Anaerolineaceae bacterium
Lineage: Bacteria; Bacillati; Chloroflexota; Anaerolineae; Anaerolineales; Anaerolineaceae
Description: bacterial SSU rRNA
Rfam family: Bacterial small subunit ribosomal RNA
Source: RNAcentral
GCACAAGCAGCGGAGCGUGUGGUUUAAUUCGUUGCUACACGAAGAACCUUACCUGGGUUUGACAUAUAGGUUGUAGGGAACUGAAAGGGACGACCCUUCGGGGAGCCUAUACAGGUGUUGCAUGGCUGUCGUCAGCUCGUGUCGUGAGAUGUUCGGUUAAGUCCGCUAACGAGCGCAACCCUCGUCGUAUGUUAUAUGUGUCAUACGAGACUGCCGGUAAAAGCCGGAGGAAGGUGAGGAUGAUGUCAAGUCAGCAUGACCUUUAUAUCCAGGGCUACACACACGCUACAAUGGUCUGUACAAUGGGUAGCCAAGCCGCGAGGCGGAGCCAAUCCUGAAAGCAGGCCUCAGUUCAGAUUGCAGUCUGCAACUCGACUGCAUGAAGCCGGAGUUGCUAGUAACCGCAGGUCAGCAAUACUGCGGUGAAUACGUUCCCGGGUCUU